RNAcentral lists this ribosomal RNA (403 nucleotides) under Verrucomicrobiota bacterium. Its description in RNAcentral is "Verrucomicrobia bacterium partial 16S ribosomal RNA". It matches the Rfam family "Bacterial small subunit ribosomal RNA", at positions 355 to 776 of the family's 1533-position model. Lineage: Bacteria; Pseudomonadati; Verrucomicrobiota. The record is from RNAcentral.
UGGGGAAUAUUGCACAAUGGAGGGAACUCUGAUGCAGCGACGCCGCGUGAACGAAGAAGGCUUUCGAGUCGUAAAGUUCUUUUAUAUGGGAAGAUAAUGACGGUACCAUAAGAAAAAGCCCCGGCUAACUACGUGCCAGCAGCCGCGGUAAUACGUAGGUGGCAAGCGUUGUCCGGAAUUAUUGGGCGUAAAGCGCGCGCAGGUGGUUUAGAAAGUCUGAUGUGAAAGCCCACGGCUCAACCGUGGAGGGUCAUUGGAAACUAAUAAACUUGAGUGCAGGAGAGAAAAGUGGAAUUCCUAGUGUAGCGGUGAAAUGCGUAGAGAUUAGGAGGAACACCGGUGGCGAAAGCGGCUUUUUGGCCUGCAACUGACACUGAGGCGCGAAAGCGUGGGAGCAAACAGG